This 2714-nucleotide long non-coding RNA is filed under the name Mus musculus (house mouse). Its description in RNAcentral is "long non-coding RNA chr2:27522795-27525509". Lineage: Eukaryota; Metazoa; Chordata; Mammalia; Rodentia; Muridae. The record is from RNAcentral.
UUUUUUUUUUUUUUAAACAUUUCAAAUGUUAUCCCUUUCCAGGUCUCCCCUUCCAGAAACCUCCUGUCCCAUCCUCUCUCCCCCUGCCUCUAUGAGGGUGCUUCCCCCACCCCCCCUUUCCAGCCCUGGUAUUCCCCUACACCAGGGCAUCAAACCUCCUCAGGCCCAAGGGCUGUUCCUCCCACUGAUGUCCAACAAGGCCAUCCUCUGCCACAUAUGGGGCCAGAGCCAUGGGUCUCUCCAUGUGUGCUCUUUGGUUGACAGUCCGGUCCCCAGGAGCUCUGCGGGGUCUGUCUGGCAGUGCCCAGUAGAUUUUCACAUCACCGUUGCACAAUUGAAGGAAGUUAGGACAAGAACCUGGAGGCAGGAGCUGGAGCAGAGGUCCUGAAGAACAUUGCUUACUGUCUUAUUUGUGCCUUAGUCAUUUUAAGUUUUCAUACCUGCCUAAAGGUGGCAUCACUAACUGUUGAGGCCCUGUAUCAUUAAUUAAUCAAGGAAACGCCCCGUAGAUCGCUACCGGCCAGUCUUAACAGAGGCAUGUUCUCAAGAUUUCCUUUUUGUGCCUGCCAGGCAGUCGUGGCGCACACCUUUAAUCUCAGCUCUCGGGAGGCAGAGGCAGAUGGAUUUCUGAGUUGGAGGCCAGCCUGGUCUACAGAGUGAGUUCCAGGACAACCAACCAGGACUAUACAGAGAAACCCUGUCUCAAAAAAAAAAAAAAAAACAAAAAAAAAAACUGUCUGAGAACACCCUGCACAGCCGCUUGCCCUUAUCCCAUUUUGGUUCCUGGAGCUGUGGUCACUUGAACCUUUGGCCAGCCAUUCCCGUCUGUUGGGCAGAUGGCAACUCAGGUAGCUUUUUACUGAGUUCGAGGCCAGCAUGUUCUACAAAGUGAAUUCCAGGACAGCCAGGGCUACACAGAGAAACCCUGUCUGGAAAAACCAAAAAAAAAAGGGGGGGGGCCUAGGUCUGUGCCAAGUUGAUGACUCAAUUAAUGCCCAGCCUUGAAGCCCUUUUGUAUACUCUCCCUAGCUAUAGCCUUUGCCUGUAUCAGUGUCCCCUCAGCCGUUCACUGUGUCUCAUCCCCAGUAGGGAGUCCUGUUGACUGGUACCCUGUGGGCUGGCUUGCUUGUUUCUCCAAGCUGCUACCUGCACAUUGGCUGCAUGGAAACGUCGGGGGCCCAUGUUUGCCCCUUACCACAUUAUGUUUGACAAUUUGUUUCGUAUAUUAAAAGUAGAGGUAAAUGUGGGUAGUUAGUUGUAUUGCCUGACCUAAGGAAGGAACUCUAGUGACUGACAGUUGUGGCUGAGUAGCUGUUCAGGAUCUGACAUGCACUUGUCAACAGGAGAAAGUGACCUCUGGCUCUAGUGCUUUAGACCAGGCUGGCCCAUCAGGUCUGUGAUGGCAGAGUCCCUGGAACCUGAUGGCUGCUUACAAGUGAGCCCAAGAAGCUGAAGCUGGAACAUUUCUCAAGUUUGUCACCAUAUCAUGCACUGAGAGUUCCUAUGUAAAAAGUUUAUCUUGAGUCACACCUACCAAAGACUCAGUGAAAGUUAUAGAAAUUUGGGGAGAUAGAUUCAAUUCCUGGCACUAAGAUUUAAGCAGGGUUGGACUGUGACCCAGUAUCUGGUACACAGGUAGAAUGCUUGCCUAGUAUGCUCCAGUCCUUGGAUUCCAUCUCCAGUAUUGUAUACAAUAAACACAGGCAUGGUGUUACAGGCUUGUAAGCCCAGCACUUUGGUAAGGGGCAGGAAGAUUAGGAGUUAGAAGCUAUAGCUACUUAGUAGAUUCAAAAUCAACCAUAGCUGCAUCCUGUCUCAAAAAGUAAGACAAACUGAAAACAGUAAGUUAUAAGGGCCUGGAGUUACCUGAAGGGCACCAGGGACUCACUGAAAUUUGCAUAUUAGCCUAAGCGUCUCCUCUGAGACACAGUUUAUGGUGGCCUGGCUCUCAUUGCUGGGACUAUAUACCACUGAGCAUCUAGAGUGGCAGUGAUCUAGAUAUCAGAAACUCAGGCUGAUGAAUGAACACAGGCCACCUGUGGACCAGUCUCCUGACUUUAAGCUCUUGCUUUUUUGCUGGUGAGAAAGAGAAGGUGCCCCCCCACCCCCACCCCAAGUUGUAUUAGCUUUGUCAGGUGCUCAAAGGGGAUUGUGGUGAGCUCUGUGGGCAAGAUGCCCUCGAGAUUUAGAUAAACAUACUACUGUAGUACUUAUUAGAAACCAGCUUGGGGGCGGAGAAUAAAAUAUGGAGUGUAAAAGAAUAAAAAAGAGAGAGAGAGAGAAAUCAGCUUCUCUUCCUCUAUUUUGUAGGUUCAUUUCAACCGUGAUGGAUCAUUGAUUGUUUCCAGUAGCUAUGAUGGCCUCUGGUAAGUGAGAGUCUUCAUGUAGUCGGUGACCUGUUGUUUAUGGCCUGCUAUGUUGUUCCAGCUCUGUGGUGCAUCAAAGUGGGGGCCUGUGCCUCCUCAUCCUCCUGAGGCCUGCGCCCCACUGGGUGCAGAGUUCAGGGGAUGAAAAGCUAUGAAGGGAAAGGUAGAUGAUAGGUGAGGGCACCCAGGGCAGAGUGAGAGCUGGGAGCUCCUUGCAUGCCCCUGAGUGUACCCUUUCAAAGUUGUAGAAAGUGAGUUAAAGGUCUGAGCCCUUGUAAGUGCAGUGGUGCUGUUCACAGAUCCCAUGAGCUCUGGGCAGGUGAACCACCAGAUCCCAUUGUGUGGAAC